ACGGUUACCUUGUUACGACUUAACCCCAGUCAUCAGUCCUGCCUUCGACGGCUCACUCCUAUUUCUAGGUUAUGCCACCGGCUUCGGGCAUUACCGACUCCCAUGGUUUGACGGGCGGUGUGUACAAGGCCCGAGAACGUAUUCACCGCAGCAUGCUGAUCUGCGAUUACUAGCGAUUCCGGCUUCAUGAAGUCGAGUUGCAGACUUCAAUCCGAACUGGGACGACCUUUUUGGGGUCCGCUUAACAUCACUGUCUCGCUUCCCUCUGUAGUCGCCAUUGUAGUACGUGUGUCGCCCAGGCCAUAAGGGGCAUGAUGAUUUGACGUCAUCCCCGCCUUCCUCCGGUUUAUCACCGGCAGUCUCGCAUGAGUCCCCAUCUUACUGCUGGUAACAUGCGACAAGGGUUGCGCUCGUUGCGGGACUUAACCCAACAUCUCACGACACGAGCUGACGACAACCAUGCACCACCUGUGUGCAUUAUUUCUAUCUCCCUAUCUCUAGGGCAUUUAACGCCAUGUCAAGGCCUGGUAAGGUUCUUCGCGUUGCUUCGAAUUAAACCACAUACUCCACCGCUUGUGCGGGCCCCCGUCAAUUCCUUUGAGUUUCACACUUGCGUGCAUACUCCCCAGGCGGAGAACUUAUUGCGUUAACUGCAGCACUGAAUCU
RNAcentral lists this ribosomal RNA (666 nucleotides) under uncultured bacterium. RNAcentral's name for it is "partial 16S ribosomal RNA". The record is from RNAcentral.